UACGUAGGGCGCAAGCGUUGUCCGGAAUCACUGGGCGUAAAGCGCACGUAGGCGGAUGUGUCAGUCAGGGGUGAAAUCCCGGGGCUCAACCUCGGAACUGCCUUUGAUACAGCACGUCUCGAGUCCGGAAGAGGUGGGUGGAAUUCCUAGUGUAGAGGUGAAAUUCGUAGAUAUUAGGAAGAACACCGGUGGCGAAGGCGGCCCACUGGUCCGGUACUGACGCUGAGGUGCGAAAGCGUGGGGAGCAAACAGG
This 253-nucleotide ribosomal RNA is filed under the name uncultured bacterium. RNAcentral's name for it is "partial 16S ribosomal RNA". It matches the Rfam family "Bacterial small subunit ribosomal RNA", at positions 524 to 776 of the family's 1533-position model. The record is from RNAcentral.